GAUCAACCAUGAUGAACAAACACACAGCCGAUACAAAAAGAAUCGCCUAAAGAGAGAACAUAAUCGUCCAAAUCGGCCGAUAUAUUAUUCGGUACGGAUGAUGGGUUACACGGCCGACGCGGUACAAGUCGCCCUUAAAACAAAAAAUAAUUAACCACGCCUCUUCUUAAGCUCUCUCUCAACCCGACCUAGUUCUAUCAGAAGACGGAUGUGCCGUUCUUCUAUCUCUUUC
This 232-nucleotide long non-coding RNA is filed under the name Setaria italica (foxtail millet). Its description in RNAcentral is "long non-coding RNA (SITA_LNC004368)". Lineage: Eukaryota; Viridiplantae; Streptophyta; Magnoliopsida; Poales; Poaceae. The record is from RNAcentral.